UCUGCCUACCAAGCUGUGGGUGAUUCUGCAAGCUUUAACCCCUCCCUAAAGGGAAAGCUUCUGGAAAUCCUGAUGGACCUGAUGAAGAAGUAUUACUCGGGCAUCCCUGUCUCCCCAGUGCCUCUCAAGGUGGUUCUGGCCCUGGAGCAGUUGAGCAAGCUGAAGCCCUCUUCUGAAAGCAAGGACCUGCGUGAGAUGUUGGUCCUGUGCUGCAAAAACAUCGUGACACACCCUUCAGCAGAGAUGAUGCUGAAGAUCAGGAAGUCACAGCAAGCAGCACAGUAC
This is a long non-coding RNA of Lagopus leucura (white-tailed ptarmigan), 285 nucleotides long. RefSeq lists it as uncharacterized. The record is from RefSeq and is a predicted model, not a curated record. NCBI's taxonomy places the organism in Eukaryota, Metazoa, Chordata, Aves, Galliformes, Phasianidae. The transcript is spliced from 3 exons.